Long non-coding RNA from Cervus elaphus (red deer), 2684 nucleotides. RefSeq lists it as uncharacterized. The record is from RefSeq and is a predicted model, not a curated record. Lineage: Eukaryota; Metazoa; Chordata; Mammalia; Artiodactyla; Cervidae. The transcript has 4 exons.
CCUUAGAGCACAAACAGUCUUAUUUAGAGACGGGGUCGGAAUCUGCUCGCGUGGGAUGGGGAGAGCCUGACGGAAAAACACUGCCCCUCCCGCUCACAGAUCCUUGGCUUCCUUCUCAAAGACGCGGGACACCAGACUCCAUAUCGAGGUACUUCAGAGAGGAGCUGGAGCAGAGGACGUGGGGAAGGCCUGUCCCGGGAAGACCCUACAGGAUCCUGCCGUGACAAAGGGCCCGGCAACUCCCCUCGAGAGCUCUCUUAGGGCUCUCGAGAGAAGCUGCAGUGUUUGCUGAGGACCAGUUCAAGAGCUCAGUGGAGUGAGGAGAGCAGAACAGGGACAGGAAGGCGGAGCCGUUGCCUUCAGGGUGACUGUGAGCCCAGAGCGGAGGCCGACGGCAAUUCAGGGCCUGCUGGGAACCAUCCUGGCACAUCAGUGAAACUUCGGCGGGUUUACCACAUCAAUUAAUGUCUCAAGAACAAAUGAAAUACACCUGUUGCCCUGCCAGAAAUACCUAGGUUGACCUGGAACAUUCAACUCAUCCAAGCAACCUGCCUUCUCCACAGGUAGAUUCGAAGGACAGAUUCCAGGUACAGAGAUGAAUAUGAUGGAGAUCUGUAUUCGCCCAAAAUGUCUAGAGGGAAAGCUUAAGAAAGAAUGUCCUCUUCUUGGAACUUCCCUGGUGGUCCACGGAUAAGACUUCAAACUCCCAGUGCAGGGGCCCGGGUCCAGCCCCCAGUCAGGGAACUCAUCCCACCGGCUGAACUACGAGUCCCCACGCCACAACUGUGGAUCUCGAAUGCUGCAAUUAAGACUGAAGGUCCCAAGUGCCAGCACAGCCAAAUACAUAAAUAAAUACUCAAGAAAAGUAAAAGAGUGCCCCCUCUCGCCACGUCCAAGGUCAAGAGUCACUGGGAGGAGUGAAACCUGAGUGGCCGGCCUCGCCGUGGCCCUGACCGCACAUCUGAUCGCGCUCGCCUGUCUCUGCAGCCCGCCCCCGCUUCCUCCUUGCCCUCAUCAUCUCAGGAUCAUUCCUCCCUCCAACACUCGCUUCCACAGGAACCCUGUGCCUCCACAGCAAGCUUCUCUCAACUUUGCCCCUUUUCCUCCAAAUGGAAGGAGUCUUGGAAAAAAGAAACCCAACUAGACAGAGCUGCCAACUUGGGUCUCAUUUUUGAAAACUGUACAUGCAUUUGACACAGAACAUCAAAGCCGGGGAUAGAGUCACCAAGAAUGAUCUUCAGUGCAAAUUGCAGCAUCUUCUAGGCCUCAAACCAAAGAAAUACAUGAACUUGUCUUUUUCAUCCCUUCAUCCUUCCUCACCUGGAUGUCUAACAGCCAGCAAAUAUCUACUGUGGAAUUUUAACAUACACAGACCCCUUCGUGUUAUCGAAGGACCUCAAAUUUACAUGCAAAAGCAAGAAUUUCAGCAGCCAGCAGUUUUGCAGCUUUUUUUAGUGUCAGUGUCUAAGCCUCCUUUCCCUCUGAGGCUCACAGAAAGACCAGCAGUCCAUCCCGGAAAUGUAAUGUCAGCUCACGAUCUGUCAAGCAUCCAAUGUGUACUUCUGGGACACGCCAAUGGGAGCAAUUACUCAUAUUUCUAAGAAACCAGAUUUGUCUUAGAAAUCUUCACAUCUAUUUUCUCACCUAAACACAAUGGAAAUAAAUCUUGAGUGGAGAAGCAACCAUUAGCUUCCAGUCUGCACCAUCCACUUCAUAUUGCUACAUACUUACUCAAGCGUGACCAUCACAAGGGCUGCUUCCAGUUUUAUAGGAAGCAGUGUUAUUUGCUAGUCAUAACUUUAAUGGGGAAAAAUUAAUUCUUAUAGGAGUCACAGAAAAAAAUCCAUCAGUGAUCUGGCCAGCUCAUUACUUCAGGACAGAACUGUAUAUAAAACUUACUAGAGCUGACUCAUUUGAAAAGACCCUGAUGCUGGGAAAGAUUGAGGGCAGGAGGAGAAGGGGACGACAGAGGAUGAGAUGGUUGGAUGGCAUCACUGACUCGAUGGACAUGGGUUUGGGUGGACUCCAGGAGUUGGUGAUGGACAGGGAGGCCUGGUAUGCUGCAGUUCAUGGGGUCGUAAAGAGUCGGACAUGACUGAGGGACUGAACUGAACUGAACUGAAUUGCCAGUGUUAAGUGCUUACAGUACUUGGUACCCACUAAGAUAUUAGAAGACUACCUGGUUUGAAUUAGUGCUUCCCUGACCUAGUGCCUCAGUCUCUUUUCUGAGUAUGUUAGUAAUUUAUCAAUAAUAGAGUAAGCUGAGUAAGCUUUCCUUAAGUCUAAUUUAAAUAAAGCAAAAGACAAAUGAACUAUGUCCUUGGAUUUCAUGUGAUGUUGAAUAAAUAACCACGUGCAAACCUUUGGGAAUACAGUUAAAAAUAAGAAUGAAUAUGCAUUCCCCCAAAAGAUGCAUGGUUGUCCUUGACAAUCAUCUCGAAAGAUUAAGCGUGUGUAGCAAAUCCCAAGACUCACCUGUCUGUAAUAAUUCAACUCAGUAAACCUUUAUCAAUCAUUUACUGUGUACAAGUGACUGGGCUUGUCAUCCCAGCAGGCAUAAAGAUGAAUAAGACAUGGCAUUUGCACUGGAAGAACUUAUUCAUUCCUUAUCCAUUGAGGUCUUGACACCUUCUUGGUACCCAGCUUUAUUUUUUGUUCCCAACAAGACUUGCAUUAGACAGAAU